UACGAUUAGACGGCGAAUUGGUAUAUAAGCAAUAUAAGGCACUUCCAGCUAUUUUAUAAAAACAUUUAAAUUCGCGACAAUGGACUUCAAGUGCUAUAUGCUUUUUAUAUCGCUUUUCUUGACUGCAGCUGUAGCCAUGCCAGCUACGUCUUGCGAGCCAUUUUGCGGCGAGGGACCCUACAAAGUUAAUUUUCCUCUUCCGGGAAUAUAAAGUGUUUAUUUAUUUAAAUUAACAGAAAUAAAAAUACAGAAAUAAA
Long non-coding RNA from Drosophila takahashii, 257 nucleotides. RefSeq lists it as uncharacterized. Lineage: Eukaryota; Metazoa; Arthropoda; Insecta; Diptera; Drosophilidae. The record is from RefSeq and is a predicted model, not a curated record.